GUUAUUUCAAUCCAACAAGAUUCAAUGCCGCCCUCAGCUAUUUCUAAAUCACGCCUUCUAAUGAAAUCUAAUUCAUGCGAUAUGUAAAUCCCGACUCCGCCUGCAUUAGUCGAUCCUCCGUGCAGCCGAAGCUAUGAGCUUGUUUGCCUCCCGUCGGGUUCUUCUUCAAUUGUAGCAGCAGAGGACUAUAAAGAGGCUCUACAUUACUAUUCUCAUUAAGAUGUCACGAAGCAAAUUCAAAACAGAAAGGUGGUUAAAGCAAGGAAUUAACCCAGAUUCAUUAUGUAGGCUGGCUGAAAGCAAAUGUAAAUUAAUGUUUUUCAUAUUCUUUUAUUGUUAAGUGUUAUUAUAUUCAAUCAACCCACAUUCCUUUCCUAUAGCCAACAUAAUAUGCUCUUGCGGUGUUGAUACUUCCCUAAAAUCUGAAUUAAGUAAGCCUUAACUGUCAACAAAAUUAUUAACAGACAGACAGACAGACAUACAGAUUAGUUUAUUGGUACCGUGUAAAGACUUUUACAUUAGUGUGAAUCCAAUAAAUUUAACAUUAAGCCAUUCGAAUUCUCAAAAAUACAUAUAUACAGACAAAAGAACAUAGAGAAGAUACCAGUACCCUUUAAAUAUUUAUUCUUUAAAAAAAGAAUGUAUGUAAGCUUAGGGGUAAAUAAAAGGUUUUUUUUUUCUUGUAAAUUGUUCUAUGGAUUUGUUCAAUGGCUUGGCCCUAUUCAUGGCUGAUUAGCUUUUACUUAUUCAUGAGCAUCGUUCAAGAGAGUUACUCAUAUGUAGUAAUGACAGGGGAGAGGGGUUGGAAUAUUGUAUUUCAAAAUAUAUGGAUGUUUGCUAGAGAUGAAAGAUGGAUUAAGAGAAAAAGGAUUUCAUUUAUCAAAAUUUGUUUUUAGUAUCUAAUGAGUUAAUUGGUAAAAAUGUAUAAAAAGGAUUUCAAAAUAUAUGGAUGUUUGCUAGAGAUGGAAGAUGGAUAAGAGAAAAAGGAUUUUAUUUAUCAAAAAUUUGUUUUUAGUAUCUAAUGAGUUAAUUGG
This is a long non-coding RNA of Nematostella vectensis (starlet sea anemone), 1034 nucleotides long. RefSeq lists it as uncharacterized. The transcript has 3 exons. Lineage: Eukaryota; Metazoa; Cnidaria; Anthozoa; Actiniaria; Edwardsiidae. The record is from RefSeq and is a predicted model, not a curated record.